UACGGAGGAUGCGAGCGUUAUCCGGAUUUAUUGGGUUUAAAGGGUGCGUAGGCGGGAUAUUAAGUCAGCGGUGAAAGCGUGUGGCUCAACCAUACCGAGCCGUUGAGACUGGUGUUCUUGAGAGCAAACGGGGUAGGCGGAAUGUGACGUGUAGCGGUGAAAUGCAUAGAUAUGUCACAGAACACCGAUUGCGAAGGCAGCUUACCAGCAUGCGUCUGACGCUGAGGCACGAAAGCGUGGGUAUCAAACA
Molecule: ribosomal RNA, 250 nt
Filed under: uncultured prokaryote
Description: partial 16S ribosomal RNA
Rfam family: Bacterial small subunit ribosomal RNA
Source: RNAcentral